RNAcentral lists this long non-coding RNA (511 nucleotides) under Ananas comosus (pineapple). Its description in RNAcentral is "long non-coding RNA (ACOM_LNC041281)". Lineage: Eukaryota; Viridiplantae; Streptophyta; Magnoliopsida; Poales; Bromeliaceae. The record is from RNAcentral.
CCGUGCUUCCACUUUCUUUUCGAUGUUGGGACUUUCAAAUCGACGAUCGGCUCCGUUAGACUUGAUCUAGAGUAUUUGAAGUAUCUAGAAAAUAAAUUUUGCGAUUUUUCGAUAUCAUUUGCCUAGUGAUUGAAGUGGCUCAAAAUCAACGGCUGAAAAUAAAAAUCUCACAAAAUAUGAUGAUAUGACAUUAAAAUUUUAGAUCAAAGUUAUUGAUCUUGUUUUAUAUGGUAUAAAGAAUUUUCUAUCAAAAUUUCACGUGAUUUGGAUAUUUCUACACCGUUAAACUUGCAACCGGCUCACCACGGCCGUUAAAAUUAUUGAUUUUGAGCCCCUUCGAUCACUAGGCAAAUGAUAUCGAAAAAUCGCAAAAUUUAAUUUCUUGGUACUUUAAAUACUUUAGAUCAACUCUAACGGAGCCGAUCGUCGAUUCGAAAGUCCGAACAUCGAAAAUAAAGUGGAAGCACGGAGGCCUCCGUGCUUACGAAAGCAUACCAGCCCACUCUAUAUA